GACGAACGCUGGCGGCGUGCUUAACACAUGCAAGUCGAACGGAAAGGCCCGCUUGCGGGUACUCGAGUGGCGAACGGGUGAGUAACACGUGGGCAACCUGCCCUCAGCUUCGGGAUAACACUUGGAAACAGGUGCUAAUACCGGAUAAUAACCUUUCAUCGCAUGGUGGUUGGUUCAAAGAUUUUCGGCUGAGGAUGGGCCCGCGGCCUAUCAGCUUGUUGGUGGGGUAAUGGCCUACCAAGGCGACGACGGGUAGCCGGCCUGAGAGGGCGACCGGACACACUGGGACUGAGACACGGCCCAGACUCCUACGGGAGGCAGCAGUGGGGAAUAUUGCGCAAUGGGCGGAAGCCUGACGCAGCGACGCCGCGUGAGGGAUGACGGCCUUCGGGUUGUAAACCUCUUUCAGCUCUGACGAAGCGCAAGUGACGGUAGGAGCAGAAGAAGCACCGGCCGACUACGUGCCAGCAGCCGCAGUAA
RNAcentral lists this ribosomal RNA (480 nucleotides) under uncultured bacterium. RNAcentral describes it as "partial 16S ribosomal RNA". It matches the Rfam family "Bacterial small subunit ribosomal RNA", at positions 28 to 523 of the family's 1533-position model. The record is from RNAcentral.